ACACCAUCCCAUCAUCAUCAUCAUGCACACCAUCCCAUCAUCAUCAUCUCAUAUGCAACGGCUUAUGCGCAUAUAACCGGGUCAGCAACGGCUUAUGUGCACUCCCACUCACACAUAGCCGGGUUAGCAACGGCUUAUGUGCAAUCCUACUCGCACAUAGCCGGGUCAGCAACGGCUUCUGUGCACUCUUACUCGCACAUAGCCGAGUCCAAAUCAACAUGCAAAGAAACAUCCAAUGCAUAUCAUGCAUUUUAUCAUAUUGUGAUAACACAUAAACCAUUGUAUAGCACAUUUUCACAAUAUAAAAUCAUUUUACUAAAAGCUUGUUCCCAAGGUACAUUUUCUAAGACAAGUUGGAUAGAAUCUUUCAUAUUCCCCAAAAUAAGUUUAAAAUACAAGUCCACUCACCAGUAUUAGGAAUAUAAAUACUCCUAUUUUCAAUCCACAGGUACAGUCCUUUACCCGUAUCCAAUGGCUCACCACCUAGCCAUAAUCCAUGACACAUAUUUCAAUUAAAUUAUGUCUAACAGUCAUAAGCUAUUUCAAGCUUGAUAUAUAUAUGAUAUGAAAUGAAAAAUGCACGGGUAACCAUCUAGACCCGGUAUUGGCCUAAGUCGAUUUUUCAUCCGAUAAAUUGGCCAAUGCGUCCAAUUUCACUCCAAAUUAAUCCAUUUCUCCUCUAAUACCUUAAUUUACCACAUACCAUUUAAAUAAAGCCAAAUUCAGCAUUAGAACCCUCACAGUUCCUUAUAGAAAAAUUCGGUCAUUUGGUGCACUAGCACCAAAAAAUUUUCGACAUAACUGUUUCACCUUAAUUCAUCAUUUUUCAAGCCAUUUUCCUUGAAAUAAAAACAAUCCCCCAUUGAUAUUUAGCCCUCAUGGUUCGACCAACAAGGAACCCUAGAGAAAUUGAAUAUUUCAUUUGUGUUUUUGUUCAUAACCAUGCUUAACUAUCCCUAAACACUAACAUAGUCUAAAAUCAAAUUAUUCCAACAACAAUUCCUCUUCCAUACCCAUUUUUCAGAAUUGAAUUCAUCAUGAUAACUCAAUAUUCAACCAUGGAAAUCAAGAACAAAAUCAUGGGUAAGCUAGGUAUCAAGGAGAAUUAAAGAAAUUCUAACUUACCUUGCUUGUUUCCUUGAUUUCUUCACUUUUUCUUUGAAUUUCCACCUAAGUUUUCUUGUUUUUCCCUUUGUUCUUGUUGCUGGUUGCCUACGCUGAAUAUGGUGAGAGAAUUGGGGAUUUAAUGAGCUGAUUUCUAUAGACAAUAAUAAAAUAAUCAAGCAUGCCACGUGUCACAUGCUUAUUGGCCCAUUUUUUUAAUUUUUUGACUUUUUCUUCUUAAUUUUCCACCACAAAUAUUCUGGUACUUAUCCAAUCCUACCACAAUUAAAAUCCCUUGGUCUUGACAAGUGCUGGGGCAAAAAAUUUACCGAUUUGCCCCCGAGGCAAAAAAAUUACGAUUUUGCCCCUAUACUUCGAAAUGUACCGAAAUCACAUUAUUUCUACUUUUCAACCUCAAAUAACACUAAUAUUGAUCAAUAUUAACCAAAUAGGGCAAAAAAAUUGUUUUAUAAAAAUUCCCGUUUAGUCCUCUAGUGGCAAAAUUACCAUUUUGCCCUUGUGCUCCAAAAAUAUCGGGAAUCACAAUUUUUCACUGCUAAACAUCAUUUUAUACUCCAAUAAUCAUAAUUAUACUUCAUAUAAUUAUUCUUGGUCAAAUGUGAUCAAAUCUUGGCUAAAAAUCUCCAUUUUAUCAUCAAAUGGUAAAAUGACCGUUUUGUCCCUAAUCGGUCAAUUUUCCUAAUGGACUUCAAACUGGACCUUGAACUUCGAAUCACUAUUCUAAGCCAUUCUGUGGGUUUCAAAAUUUUCAAAUUCCUCUUAGAAUUUCUAUUUGAACUAGUUCAAGGCUCAAUUCAACUUAGUUGUACCACUCGGUACAAUACCGUCUUUUAAUCGAGCUUGACAGAGUCUCACAAUCUCAUUUUAUUCAUGCGUCCUAGACAUGAAGUGUUCUUAGUACCGCAGCACGGUGGCUGUUAGAGUUUACUUAAUCAAUGUUAUUCAUCUAUAUUUAAGGUUACUACACUAAUCAUUCUCAACCGUUUAGUUUCCCUCCAAGCUUACGUCACAAUUUCCAUAACCAUUUAUAUCCUCUUGUGUUUAUCACAUAUAAUAGGUAAAGUCGAUAUUUGUAAAUUCAUCUCAUCCUAUAACACUUGUCAACAAUCAAUAAAUCUCACUUUAGAAUACUCUUUCCAUAUUGUAUAGUAACUUCACCAUUUAGUAUCACGGCACUAUGUUCCUCCAUUCUACUAUCAUGGAUACUCCACAAAAAUUAAUUAAAAGAUUUACAUACCUUAACUAAUGCUAAUUCCAUUUAAUCAUAUCAUAAAUACUCCAAACUAAUAAAUUACAACUCCAAGUAUAUGUCUAUAUAUUGAUAAUCUUUAUAUAUUUCGUGAUCAUGAAAACUACAACUUACAAACUAGCUUUCGAUCAUAUGCACACUAUUAGAACAUUAAUUUUAACAUGUUUUAAUUCUCCUUUGGUGGUAUGUUAAGAUCAUUCCUGGAUACAUUUACAUAUUAACAUUGAUAUGCCUUUACCAUAGCAUUUAGUGCAAAUUCGAUGAAGGAAUUGUCUCCAAAUAACUCUUAAAUACAUAAUUAUCAAAUUGUAUACCACUAAAUGUUAAGAUCUUGACUUUAUUCAUCAAUAACCAAUCACAUUUAUUAAGUAAAUAAUUUACUUAGUUAUUACACCUUGCCUUUGCGAUCAUAAGAUCAAAGUUGUCCUAAACUUAGGAUGCAGAAGUUCUCUCUCUUAGAGUAUAUCCAAACAUCAACAUUUUCUAAAUUCCUUACUCUAGGGAGAUCACCUUCAAGACUGAUCAUUCGUAUCAUAGGCCACACUUUGAACCGAAUAAACUUUUAAACUAAUCUUUCAAGUAAUUCGUAUAUCAGUCUCAAUUAUAGAACUUCAUAUGGCACUUAGACUAGAUCCGACAUUUCCAAGUCAUUUAACCUCAAGCUGCCAAUUCCACAUCUAGUCCUUUAAAUCCUUUGGCUCCUCUUUACUAUGCAUAGCAAAGUUCAAGCUCAACCUUAGAGCAGAUUUGUUUACUAACCUUCUUACUUCAUGACCACACAUCAGUUAUAGUAAUCAUUGAUACUCACUCUCAAGUUAAUUCACAUGCUUAUAUCCAUGAACGAUAAUAGGUCUAAAAUCAAUUCUUGAGAUCUCAAAAUCACUUAAUUGAAAUCAACACCAGUUCCCUCUAAGUUGCUAUACCUAUUCAACACAUUUUCACAUAUAAAAUAUUUCAAAAUCCCAACACCAAUUUUANACAUCUAGUCCUUUAAUCCCUUGGCUCCCCCUACUAUGCAUAGCAAAGUUCAAGCUCAUCCUUAGAGCAGAUUUGUUUACUAACUUCUUACUUCAUGACCACACAUCAAUUAUAGUAAUCAUUGAUACUCACUCUCAAGUUAAUUCACAUGCUUAUAUCCAUGAACGAUAAUAGGUCUAAUCAAUUCUUGAAAUCUCACAAUCACUUAAUUGAAAUCAACACCAGUUCCCUCUAAGUUGCUAUACCUAUUCAACACAUUUUCACAUAUAAAAUAUUUCAAAAUCCCAACACCACUUUUAUAUGGGCAUAACAAACUCAAUUAACAUAGUGUUCUUAUCUUCAUGCACAUAAGUAUGGGUUUACUCUUACCUCAAUGCCUAAUUUAUACACUCCAAGUGAAUAACAACCAUCACUAUUCAUUCUAAUCAAAGUGCGCCUCUUAUUACCAUUAUCACAUGUACUCCUUUAUAUUAACCCCAAUACAAUCCAUAGUCCUCAAAUCUUUUUCCAAUUGACAACCAUGAGUUCAAUUAUAACUCCACCAAAUGAAUAAAUUAUCACGGCCUAUUAGUCCAACUCCAAAUUUCUCCAUCCUUAAUCGGAGGGAUAUAUCAUUUCAUUAAUCUUUCAUUAGGAGCAUUCGUUUUAAAAUCUCUCUAACAUUGGCUCGUGUCACGGGUGGCACCUUAAACCCAAACAGCGGCCCUGCUUAUGACCUUUGCAUGACAUUAACAAGGAAGUGGAUUAUUGGGAACAGGAGUUCAUAUAGCUCCCUGUCUAUGACUUAUGCUCCCAUAAGAUCUAUAAGAAGAAACAAAACGAGUCUAAACAACUCCAAAUUCUAUAUGCAGAUGCACGUAUUCUAUUCUAUCAAACCUAACUUAACUUAACUUAACUUGGGCCACACUAACACUAUAGUUUUUAAAACAACUUUAAAACAACUUUAAACCCAAAAGCUCUGAUAACACUCUAAUUGUCAUGACCCGGUACUCCUCUCGAGCCCGUGACAACCGUCACGAUAUCCCGAUCGACACUCAUUACCCGGAAUGUCAACCGAAACCCUGCAAGGCUUUAAUAUCAGUUUCUCAUUUUCCUUGUGAGUAACUGUUGCCAAAUAUCAUGUUCUAAAAGAUUUUAAGCUAUUUCCAACUUAAAUCAAUAAAAAAAAUGAUUUCUGUCUCACAGGGGCAUUUUGGUCAUUUUUCCUCAAAAAUCUUGAGUUAAGCUAAAAAUGUAGUAUGCAAGUGGAAAACACAUAUUUCAUAAUCAAAAAUAAGUUUAGAUUUCUAAAAGAUUCAUUUAAAGUGAAAUUAUAACUAUUUGAAUAUAAUAAAAAUAUUCAAUAAAAUAUUCUAUUUGCUUAUAGAACAAUAUUUAUAGUUACCGGUAAAAAAAUUUUGUAGCGUAAAAGCUAAAUAAAUUCAUACAUAUUGUAAUACAGCUAACCAAAGUAUAAAAUUUAAUUUAUAGUGACACAUGGGCCCACAAACGACCAAACGUAUCAAAAGCGGUAAACCUAUAAUUUUUGAGGAUGCAAGUCCAAUUGUAGCCCUCAACAAAGUGAGUUAUCUACCGACUAUCCUAAGCCUGAAAUGAGUGGAAAUGAGGGUGGUGAGAUUAUAUAAUCCCAGUGAGUAAACAAAUACCAUCUAAAAUAUCUAAAGUUGAGUAAAUGGAGACAAAUAAAAUAGUUUAACAUACUGUAAUUCAUCACCUUUCAAUUCGUUUCAACCAAAUAAAAUUAAUUCAUAUAAAUCGAAUAAUCAACAUGGCUUAUGAAUUUCUUAAAAGCUUUGGCUUGUGCCAAAAUCAUUCUUAUACUCAGUUAUUAGGGAUACCUUGGCCGAGGGCUAUCCCAACCGAGUCCGCCAAGGCUGAUAAAAAGUUAUGUACGCAUAAAUCAUGUUUUUAUUUUGAAAACAUAGUCAUUCCUACGCGUUGGCUGAGUUCACCCUCACGUGGUGGUUUGGUGUGAAGUGAACUCUAAAGUGUUAACCUUAGGAAUUAUCCAACUGCGCCUCUCAUAUUGAGGUAUGAGUAUAAUAGGGUUACCGUACCCCCUCUAAUCGGCUGGUCCACGGAACCCAUCCACUGCAGCAACCAAUUUAUAACCCACCAUAUAAUAAAAAUUCAACAACAUGACAUGGCAAUUUUAUCAUUAUCCAGCCUAUCAAGGCAAACAAUAGUUUAUACAUUUUCAACACAAAUACCAAUUCAGCCAUUCAUGCCAAUAUUGCCAUAAACCAAUCAAUUAGAACCAUAAAUUCACAAUACAUCAAAUAGUCUCCAAUUACUCUAUUUUCCAAAACCAUCAUUCAAUUUCAAGACAAUUUAUAAAAUCAUUUCAUUUAAUCACAUUUUGCUUAUAAAACAUAAAGAUUUACCAUUUAAACUCAUUUUUCAUAAAAUCACAAUUAGAUAAUUAAGAUGAUAAUAAGGUUACUCACUAUUUCGAGAGUCGAAUUCCGAGUACUCCGAUUCUUGAUCCUCAGGUACUAUCUCUUCACUUUUGCCAAAAUGCUCACCACCUAGACAUAAUGCACAAUAAGCCAUUUACUACAUUUGUGCUAAAUUGUUAUAAAACCAAUUCAGGCUCUAUACUAAUGCAUGAAAUGGGAUGUGAAAUACUCGGGUAACUAUCUAAAUACGGUGUUCAAUAUAAAUUCAAUUAUGUACCUAAAUAAAACAAUAUUGGCCUAAUUCGAUCUAUCACCCGAUUAAUUGGCCAAUACGUCCAAUUCAACUCUGAAUAAUUCCAUUUUUCUCCCAAUACUCCAAAUCAUCAAACACAAGUUAAAUAACUUGAAUUAUGGCAAAAUCAUCCUCACAUUUUCUCUUGGAAAAUUCGGCCAUGGUGGGUGCAUCAACACUAUAAUUUUUCAAGCUUGAUUCUCACACCAUAAAUCACUAAUUCCUAACCAAAUCACUUGAAAUAAAAUCAAAAUCAUCAUCAAUAUUCCACAUGGAGAAUUCGGCCAAUGAUGGGUGAUGGAAGAACAUGAAUUUUUCUUGCUUGAUUUUCAUGCUACACAUCACCAAUCAACUAAAAACACUAAAAUACAUUGAAAUCUAACCAAAUCAAGCAUCAAAACCUCUCUCUAAGUGUUCAGUCAGCAAGAUACCCAUCAUGAAAUCAUGUGAUUCAACCAUGGAAAAUGCAAAAGAAUGUAUGGGAAAGGUAGAUCACAAGUCAAAAUCAAGAAAUUUUACCUUUGAUUGCUUGAUUACUUGAAAUCCACCAAUUUUCUCUUGAAUUUUCACCCUAGGGUUCUUGUUCUUUCUUUUCUUCCUUUGUUCUUGCUUUGGCCGGCCAUAUGAAGAGAAAUGGGCUGAUUUUGUGCUGAUUUUUAAGCUAAAUAAUAAAUGGAUGAAAAUUUGACACAUGUCACCAUUCCAUUGGUCCAUGUGUCAUACUUACCCAUUAAGCAAUCUCUCUUCACCACUUAAAUUUCCUCAAUUAUCCAUGAUAAUAUUGGAUAAAAUCUCUGGACAAGUGUUGGGUGGUGUAAAAUUACAAUUUUGCCCCUAGGGUGGCAAAACGACUAUUUGCCUUUAUGCUUAAAAAAACGUCAGAAUUAAAAUUUUUCACUUUUCAAACUCAAAUUAUACUUCAAAUGAUCAAUCUUAGUCAAGAAUUUCAUCCAACACUCACAUCUUAACCUCGGGUGGCAAAAUGACCAUUUUACACAUAGGUCAUGAAAAUUUCAAUUUGACUCCAAAUAGGUCCUCGAAUUUCGAGUCACUAUUUUAAGUCAUUCUGGGGUUUUAAAAUUCUCAAUUUCAUCUUAAAAUCUCUAUUUGGACUAGUUCAAGGCUUAAUUCAACUUAAUUGUACCAUUUGGUACAUUGUCGUCCUUUAACGAUUUUUGAGGUACCCAAGUAAACAAACAUGCAUUCUUAUGUAGGAAUGGCAUAAUAAACAUAUUGUCGAGCUAGGCUUGACAGUAUCAUUGAGACUGGACAUCAAUGAUGCUUAGAGACUGGUAUAUUCUAUGUUCUUUACUAUUAGAAGUAAGCAAUCGAUCUCAUAGAUUGAAGUAUAGAGAUACUUGGAACUAGAAUAUAGGCGUUUGCCUAGAAGAGCAAGUUCACUGAACAUGACUCGCCAUGAGAAGUGUAUUUGGUAAUACACUAUAGUGUCUAUGCAACACUUCUCAUGUGACAGUCGUGUAAAUACUCUCUAGACUUGAGACACUAAUUGUCUUAUAUGUGGAGUGCUAAACUUUGAUUUCAUCCCUACGGGUGCCUAAUCAAGGAUGCCAAAACAGGAUGCUUUUGGGUAUAGUAUGAAGCAUGUGAAGGCAAAUGAGUGGUCAAGAUAGGAAUCAUCACCUCGAGUGUUUUAAAGGACAUAUCCUAUCAGUUCUUGGUUAACAUUAGUUUAUUGAAGUUCUUGGCCAAGGCGACAUGGAGAUUAUGAAAAAGGUUUCAUAACUCCCUAUAAAGCUAACGCUAUAAUUGCAGGAAUAAAUAUGGAGGUCAAUAAGAGUAAACACUAUACCAAACUCUUAUCAUCUCCGGGAUAUAUGAUGAGGGAAUGAAUUACAGUGAUAGACUGUACAUUGAAGAGUUGUCAAAGAACCCUUUGACUCUCCCAACAAUUGGGUGGCCAUGAUGCAUUGCUAGAUGCCAAUCUUGGUCUCUGGAAUUGAUUAUAAAUUAAUUGAUUAAAAUUUAUAUUAAUCAAUUAAGUCAUUAAUCAAUUCCAUUGCCAACAUGUUGGGAACCUAAUAGGUCACACACAAUGAUUGCAUUUGAAUUAAAUUGGGAGAGUGACGAUUUAAGUUAGACUUAAAUCACAUGCUAGGUAAUUAACUUCUAUAAACUUAAUUAAAAGAGUUUAAUUAAGUUUUUGUCAUAAUUAUAAAGCCUUGAUUGCAAAAUAUAUAGGAAAUUAAUUUUGAUUUUAAUUUUCAAGGACUUAAUUAAAAGAGUUUAAUUAAGUAAUGGGCCUAAUAUUAUAAUGUGUUAUAAUAUUGAGGGCUUAAUUGCAAAAUUGAAGUUAUUUUAACCUAAAUAUAUAAGUCACAUUUUAACUAUUUUUUUAUGAAAGUUUUUCACAAUUGAAAAAAACGUAGUUUUUGUCAGAAAAAGAGAAACGUUUUCUUUCUUUGCCACCACUCCCUUUGUGUGAAAGAGAAAAUUGCUUGUAAAGCAAUUUUCGAAAGAGGUUCAGCUAAAUUGUGAAAAAGAAGAAAAGGGCAAUUGUUGUCCUCUCUGCUAGCACAAAGUAUAGUUAAAACCUCCUUCCUUUGUUGAAGGCUCAAGUGCAAUCGUGUGUACUACCAUUGGAGGCCAAGCACUUGAUUGGCUAGGGUUUUUGUUCCUUGUGGUGUUCACAAGAUUGCUUCGAAAAGUGCCAUUGUGAUUACGAAAUUACAUGGCAAGGUAACUUUCUAAACAAUAAUUUAUUUUGUGCUUUUAUGUGUUAAAUAUCACCAAGGUGAUCCAUGGGUGGAGGCAUGUUUUGUUGUUUAGUUAUAAAAUUUUUAAUUUUCUUUCCGCUGCGUAUUUUGAGCAUGCCAUCGAUAGCCAAACCCAUCAGUGGUAUCAAAGCCUUCCUUGGUUCGAUUUUAACACAUGUUGAUGUCUAUUGUUGUUAAUGCCUUGUUGAAAAGGAAUAUGAGGUGUUCGGGUUUUGUUCACAAAUUAGUAAGUUUUAAAAUUUUACAAUUUGUUCUAGUUAUUUUGAUUUCUAGAUAGAUUUUAAUUGUAAAUUUUAAAAUUUAUUUGUCAUAAUAUUAAUCUCGUUUUAAUGUCAAAAUAUUGCAGAUUAACAAGUGCAUGAGAUGCACAAAUUAAUUUAGCAAAUAAAGAUUCGAUCUCAUAACAUUAUGGUGUGAUUUAAAUGGUAGAAUACGAUUCUGUCCAGCCAUGGUAUUGGUCCAUUUUCAGCUAUAAAAGUGAGGCUUAAGUGCUUCAUAAAAUGCAAAAAAAAUUAAGAGAUCAAUACACAUUGAAAAUGUUCCAAGAUGGUGUUCUACGUGGGUUCAAUUAUGAUCGGACUGAAUUGACAUUCGACCUAACUCGCACUAUGCCUUGUUUAAUUAGCCAAAACAUCCAAUUCAACUCCAAAUAUCUUCAUUACACUUCCAAUAUUCCAAAUACACCAAAGUACCUCAAUGAGCUUAAUUGUGACUUAAUUCACCGUAACCGAAAUUCAUUCCGAUUUCGAUAUCCGAUACCAUAAAUCAUCAAUUACAAGCUAAAUAACAUGAAAUACAACAAAAUCCAUCAUCAACAUGUCACCUAAUAAAUUCAGCCAAAGAGGGUUAUUGAAGGGCAUGUGAUUUUCUUGCUUGUUUUUCCUUCCAAACAUCACAAAAUGACUAAAAACAUUAGGAUAUUAUGAAAUCUAGUAAAAUUCAUCACCAAAACUUCUCUCUCUAGAUUUGGCCAGUAAAGGUUCCCUCUUGAAAACUUGAAUUUCAGCCAUGGAGAAUGAAAAAGAAAGCAUGUGAAAGGUAGAUCACAAGUUAAAAUUAAAAAAUCUUACCUUUACUUGCUUGAUUCCUUGAAAUCCAAAAAUUUCUCUUGAAUUUUUCCUUCCUAGGGUUUGUUCUUCUCUUUUUCUCUUUGUUCCCUUGCUUGGCCAGCCAUAAGAGUGUGAAUGUGAAGGUUUUAAGUGAGUUUAUAUAGGCAAUUAAAAUAAUAUUAAAGCUUGACACUUGUCACCUUUUUAUUGGUCCAUGUUUAAAAACUUAAUAAUUAAACAUUUCAUUCCCACCACAUAUAAUCUCUCACUUUAAAAAAAUAAUGGGUGAAAUUCAGGGAUUUGACAAGUGUCAUGGUGGUGUAGAAUUCCAAAAUUUUCAAUUUCGCCCUCAUGGACACUUAAAAUGACCGUUUUGCCCCUAUGUUUAGAAAAAUGUCGAAAUUGAAAUUUUUCACUUCUAAAAUUCAAAUAAUGCUCUAAUUAAUCAAAUUUACUCAAAAUAUCAUCCAACAUUCCAAUUUUUCCCUUGAGUGGCAAAAUGACCAUUUUGCCCCUACAUUAUGAAAAUUCUCGAAUUAACCCCAAAUCAAUCCUCGAAUUCUGAAUAAUCAUAUUAAGACAUUCCUAAGGUUCAAUAACUCUUAAAUACAUGCUAAAAUCUCUAUUCAAACUAGUUCAAGUUUUUAAUCGACUUAAUUGUACCACUAGGUACGAUACCGAUUUUUAACGAUUUUUCGAGGCAUCCUAAUAUGUAGAUAUGCUAUCAAGUACAUGAAUGACAUGACAAGUAUUUAAUAGAGUAGGGCUUGACAAUUUCCUAAUAAGAUUAGGUAAUAAUAGACAUUCAAUCUUUAAUUAAAUGAGAUUAAUAAUAGAUUGUGUAAAAUGUUUAGGAGCACAAAUUAAAGUGUUUUAAUUUGUAAUUUGUAAUAAAAAUUUAAUUCUAAUCCUAAGAAGAUUAGGAAUGGAUAAAUUACUAAUUUUGAUUAGUAAUACUUACCAUAUAUGAAAGAAGUUUCCAUAUAUAUAGAAUUAAAUGGGUACCCAAAAAUUUGAAAUUGGUAAAAUUCAAAUGUUGAAAAUUGCUAAUCUCAAAUACCUCAUAUGAUUAACAAUUUGAAUGAGACAUGUCUUUAAAUUUUAUUCAUAUUGAUGAAUAUAUGUUGAUGAUUAUGGACUUAGGCCUAAUAUGAUUAUGCUAUGGUUGAAUGUAUAUUCUUGGUAUUUUUGAAAUAGGACCUGCGUGUCCUGCUUUAUCUCUUUAUCUCGAUUUGUAAAAUUCUUUCCUUAUCUUACUCCCCUCGAAUGUAACUGGAGGUUACUACAUUCAAAUGUAAUUAGAAUUAGGAUAGAUUAGGAAUUGAAUUUUGGAAAAAUUGAUGAUGGAGAUCCAAGGCACUAAGAAGGACAAGGAGAUGACAAGAAAAUUUUGAAGAUUCUUAUAUGUAAUCCCUUAGGUUUGACGAAGCUAGUUUCCUUUGAUGGCUCAAGGAAAUUAGUAUAGUUAAAGACCAUAAUCAUCUAAAGUAGUUUGCAUGUGAUAGAUUUAUUUUAUGCAAUUUAAUAAAUGCUAUGCAAUGCAAAGUAGUAUGCAUGUGAUAGAUUUAUUUUAUGCGAUUUAAUAAAUGCCAUGCAUACAAAGAUGAGACCCUAAUAGAGGCGAAAAAAAAAUCCUUCAUUAUAUAUUGAGUCACAUGCCACGCAUGAGUAAGUUGCCUUCCACCAUAAAGCAAGAUAACUUGGCUGCUCUUUUAAUCGGAGACUUGUUGAGCACACUCAAGGUCACACUUUUACACGAGUAUGUUUGAGCUAUUGGUGGGCUUUACUCAACUAGUUUCAUAAAAUUUGAAUGCUUGGAAACUUGAUUAUUAUGAAACUAGAGGCAAAGGCUAGGCGAAAUAUAUAUGAUAUGUUUAGGUAAUGUGUUGUCACCUAGCUGAUCUAGCAGUUGUAUAAAGAUACAAUUGGUAAGCUCAAUUACUUACCUAAUCCACCGAUCAUGGUUUGUUGAGCACAUUUAAGGCCAUGACUUGAUGGAUGGGAUCCUAGCCCACUAAAAGAAUCCUAGUAGAGAUCUCUCGAGGUGAUAUGGAAGGUUAUCAUCUUGUAGAAAAUAGUGGGAGAACUAUUUAAAAUUUUAAAACCUUGUUUUAAAUAGUUUAUGCAUGAUAUUUACGUAUUACUUUAUUUUAUCUAUUUAGACAUAAUUUAUAUAUAUGGCUAAUAAUAUGUCACUAUGGUGCAUCUUGGAUGCAAAUCAAACUCACUAGACCAAAACCUUUUUAAAGGUACCGGUACUUGAGAAAUGUUCUCAAGUGAAAGGUUGUUCGUUCCACAAUCUCUACCAAAUACAAUUCAUAAUUACAAGUGUGCUUCCAUGAAAUGGAAUUUAUACUGCCUUAAUUAUGAAUUGAGAAGACAACCACGAUAAUGGCACUAAUUGGGAAAUGUUCUUAAACAUCUUUAUGGUAAAGAUGGACAAAAGAGGGACUAUAAAAAAAAUAUUUCCUUGACAGAGUUAAAAAAGAGGAAGCUUAUAGAAGCCUUUACUUUGCCAAAGUUUAUGAUUGAGUUAGACGUUACUACUGUUGUAUUAACAUCAUAAGUAUUCGAUACUAGAUGUUGAAUGCAUUUAAGUAAUGACAUAAAGCACAAAAUAAUAGUAGUAAGUCAAUGCUCAAUAUAAAUGUCAAGAAAACUGAUUGCAUAUGAUCUCAAUUAUGGCAUUUUUGUCUUGGUCAUUAAAGUAAGAAUUAGAGUAUGAAGAUACUUAGAUCUUUUUGAUUGGGAAUCAUAAAGGAGCUAGUAAUUCUUAUAUGACCAAAUCAAUUUUCAUGCAAAAAUGAAUGACUUCGUAUGUUCAAAAGGUCUUAUACAUAUAGAUGUAUAUGAACCAUUGAACAUAAAUUGUUAUGGAAAAUGUUCCUAAUUCAUUAAGUUUGCACAAGAUCAAAUUGAGAUUUUGUCUUGUAUACUUAAAGAAAUAAAAUUUGAAACCUUGAAAUGUUUAGAGAAUUCAAAUAUAAGAUCAUAUGAGCUAUAUAGUAUGAAGUACUCUUAUUAAGAUAUGAUCUUAGUGAAGAUUACUCUUACUUAUUAAUUAAUUAUUCAAAAGAUGAAUGUAGAUUCAUGUGAAAUGGAACUUUCUUAUGAAUAGAACAUAGAGAUAUUUGUUCAAAGAAGAAAGCAAACACAUAUAGUUAUAUGAUUUGGUCCAUAUCUCUCCAAGUUAUAUGUAGCCAAUUAUAUUAUUCUAAACCAAUAUGAUUCCAAGCAUACAUUGAGAUGUAUGUAUGUAACAUCACGAAAAAUUCAAAAGAGUUUGAUUAUUACUCUCACAAAGGAUCUUGGAUUUAGUGGGAGUAUGAUAACACUAAAAAAAGAGUUUUUUAGUUAUUACAUGGUUACGUUGGAAUCUAACUCUUAAGAUUUUGCAUAGAGAAGCAUAAUCAUAUGUAUGAGAACUCCAUGGAUUUAGUAAGAUACCUUGAAGAUGUAUUAUUCAUAUGAGAUGAACUACUAAAUAUGUUUUUUGUUGGAGUUAUACACUUUGUUAUAUUAUAUGGGAUCCAAAGGGUUGGAUUUAAUAAUAUGUACAUGUGUAUUUAUCUCAUACACAAAAUGAAGUUAGUGGGAGUGAAUAUAAUUCUUUGGUGAUACAAUUACAUGAGAUGCAAUGUGAAUAAAAAAAAAAAGUGCCAAAAUUUAAAAGGGGUAGAUGGUACAAUGAAAAGUGACAAAUGCAUAUGAUGCAUACAACAUAAUUUAUGUCACGACCCAGUACUCCCCUCAAAGCCCGUGACAACCGUCGCGGUACCCCGAUAGACACUCAUUUUUCGGAAUGCCAACCGGGACCCUGCAAGGCUUAAUAUCAGUAUCUCAUUUCCCCUGUGAGUAACCGUUGCCUAAAAUCAUGUUCUAGAAGAUUUUAAGUUGUUUCCAACUCAAAACAAAUAAAAUAAUAAUUUUUGUCUCACAGGGGUAUUUUGGUCAUUUUUCCAAAAAUUUCGAAACUAACCAAUAAUGUAGUAUAUAAGUGCAGAACACAUAUUUCAAAAUCAAAAAUAAAUUUAGAUGUCUAAAACAUUCAUUUAAAACGAAAUUAUGAUUAUUUGGAUAUAAUAAGAAAAUAAAAUAAAUAUUAAGUAAAAUAUUCUAUUUUCUUAUUAAACAAUAUUUUUAGAGUUAUACGUAGAUAAUUUUUGUAACCUAAAAGCAAAGUAAACUCAUACAUACUGCAAUACAGUAAACCAGAGUAUUUAAUUUAAUUUACAAUGACCAGUGGGCCCCCAAAUAACUAAAAGUAAAGGGGAUUAUGAACCUACAAUUUGGAGGAAUGCAAAUCCAAGGGUAGUCCUCGAUGAACUCAGCUAUCUACAACCUAAUCUGAACCUGAAAUGGGUGGAAAGGAGAGUGGUGAGAUUUUAUAAUCCUAGUGAGUAAACAAACAUCAUCUGAAAUAUCUAAAGUCGAGUAAAAGGAGACAAUUAAAAUAUUUCAUCUCAAUAUGUAUUUCAUAACAUAAAUAUUCAUUUCAUUUAAAUAUUCAACAUGGCUUAUGAGUAUCUUAAAAGCUUGGCUCCUGCCAAAAUCCUUUUCGGGGAUACCUUGGUCGAGGCAUCUAACUGAAUCCGCUAAGGUUGUUAAAAAGUUCGUAUACACGUAAACAUAUUUUUAGUUUGAAAAACACAACCAUUCCUUGGCGUUAGCGGAGUUCAUCAUCACGAGGUGGUUCGGCGUGACGUGAACUCUGUCCAUACCUCAGGAGAUACCCUACGCGCCUCUCCGAUCAAGGUACAUAUAUAACUAUAUCCGGAUUUCGUGCCCCUCCAAUAGGCUGGUUUUCAUGACCCAGUACACCCCUCGAGCCCGUGACAACCGCAACGGUGUCCCGGUAGACACUCAUUGCCCGGAAUGUCAACCCGAAACCCCGCAAGGCUUUACUAUCAGUUUNNNNNNNNNNNNNNNNNNNNNNNNNNNNNNNNNNNNNNNNNNNNNNNNNNNNNNNNNNNNNNNNNNNNNNNNNNNNNNNNNNNNNNNNNNNNNNNNNNNNNNNNNNNNNNNNNNNNNNNNNNNNNNNNNNNNNNNNNNNNNNNNNNNNNNNNNNNNNNNNNNNNNNNNNNNNNNNNNNNNNNNNNNNNNNNNNNNNNNNNNNNNNNNNNNNNNNNNNNNNNNNNNNNNNNNNNNNNNNNNNNNNNNNNNNNNNNNNNNNNNNNNNNNNNNNNNNNNNNNNNNNNNNNNNNNNNNNNNNNNNNNNNNNNNNNNNNNNNNNNNNNNNNNNNNNNNNNNNNNNNNNNNNNNNNNNNNNNNNNNNNNNNNNNNNNNNNNNNNNNNNNNNNNNNNNNNNNNNNNNNNNNNNNNNNNNNNNNNNNNNNNNNNNNNNNNNNNNNNNNNNNNNNNNNNNNNNNNNNNNNNNNNNNNNNNNNNNNNNNNNNNNNNNNNNNNNNNNNNNNNNNNNNNNNNNNNNNNNNNNNNNNNNNNNNNNNNNNNNNNNNNNNNNNNNNNNNNNNNNNNNNNNNNNNNNNNNNNNNNNNNNNNNNNNNNNNNNNNNNNNNNNNNNNNNNNNNNNNNNNNNNNNNNNNNNNNNNNNNNNNNNNNNNNNNNNNNNNNNNNNNNNNNNNNNNNNNNNNNNNNNNNNNNNNNNNNNNNNNNNNNNNNNNNNNNNNNNNNNNNNNNNNNNNNNNNNNNNNNNNNNNNNNNNNNNNNNNNNNNNNNNNNNNNNNNNNNNNNNNNNNNNNNNNNNNNNNNNNNNNNNNNNNNNNNNNNNNNNNNNNNNNNNNNNNNNNNNNNNNNNNNNNNNNNNNNNNNNNNNNNNNNNNNNNNNNNNNNNNNNNNNNNNNNNNNNNNNNNNNNNNNNNNNNNNNNNNNNNNNUUUUUUUUUUACUUUAAUAAUUAUGCUUCCAUUCUCCACCGCAUGAUUAGUCAAAGGUCGAAAUGAGGUUAAGGGAAGACCAUGUGCUGGACAAGUGUCCUGGUGGUGAAAAUUAUGAUUUUGCCCCUAGGGUGGUAAAAUUACCAUUUUACCCCUAUGCUCCGAAAAAUACCGGGAUUACAAUUUUUUACUUCUCAACCUCAAAUUAUACUCCAAUAAGUCAAAUAUGAUCGAAAUCUUUCAAAAGAAAUUCCCAUUUUGUCCUCGAGUGACAAAAUUACCAUUUUACCCUUAGAUAGCGAAAUUUCCAAUUUGACUCCAAUUCGAUCCUCAAACUCCGAAUCACCAUUUUAAGUCAUUCUAGGACCUUAAAAUUCUCAAUUUCACCUUAAAUUCUCUAUUUGAUCUAGUUCGAAGCUUAGUUCAACUUAGUUAUACUAUUAAGUACACUACCAGCUUUUAAUGAUUUUCGGGGCUUUCCUAGCAUGCAAACAUGCUAUCCAUCACAAGCAUGUCAUGACAAGUAUUUUAUAAGGUCAGGCUUUACAGUUUAGUUGGAAUGGUUCCAAAGAAAGAAAGAGGACUAUGUACAUGUAUAUAAUUAAAGUCAUAUAAAUCCUAUAAAAAGGGCUCUAAUAGGAAGAUACUUAGAUCGUUAGUCCAUGAUACUAACAAAAGGUUUUGAACAUUGUUAAUGUAACAAUGGAGCCAUACAAACAAAACCUGGGUCUCAUCCGAUCUAGAUAUAGUAAUAUGACAUGAUGUGAUGCAUGGACAUAACGAAGGUAGAUAAAUGUAAUUAACCACAUUAAAGGGCACAAGCGAGUCUACAUGCAAACACGAUUGCUAGAUGGAUUGAAUCCACAUACGAUGAGGUAGCAAUUGGCUUUGUGCUAGUGGGAGAUGUUGGGAUGAGCCUUGUAGCCAAUUGGGAUUGGUUAAGGCUUGAUUCCAAUCAUGCAACAGUAUCAUUCAUGUUGAAUGAUUAGAGGUUUUCUUCAUCAAUAAGACAUCAAUUAUAAUAAGUUAUAAGUCUAAUUGGAUGAAGUCCAUGUGAUUAAUAUGCCUUGCAAGGAAACUGUAAUGGGUUGCAGUUAUGAGAUUCCUAUGCAUCAAAGCAUAAUCUCAAAAUGUUCCUGGUCAAUGUAUCAUUGAGACUGGACAUCAAUGAUACUUAAAGACUGGUAUAUUCUAUGUUCUUUACUUUUGGAAGUAAGCAAUCGAUCUCAUAGAUUUAAGUAUAGAGAUACUUGGAACUACAAUAUAAGUGCUUACCUAGGAGAGCAAGUUCACUAAACAUGACCCGCUAUGAGAAGUGCAUUUGGUAAUACACUCUAGUGUCUAUGCAACACUUCUCAUGUGUUAGUCAUGUAAAUACUCCCUAGACUUGAGACACUAGGUUGUCUUAUAUAUGGAGUGCUAUACUUUGAUUUCAUCUUUACGGGUGCCUAAUCAAGGAUGCCAAAACAGGAUGCUUUUGGGUAUAGUAUGAAGCAUGUGAAGGCAAAUAAGUGGUCAAGAUAGGAAUCAUCACCUCGAGUGUUUUAAAGGACAUAUCCUAUCAGUUCUUGGUUAACAUUAGCUUAUUGAAGUCCUUGGCCAAGGCGACAUGGAGAUUAUGAAAAAGGUUUCAUAACUCUCUAUAAAGCUAAUGCUAUAAUUGUAGGAACAAAUAUGUAGGUCAAUAAGAGUAGACACUGUACCAAGCUCUUAUCAUCUCUGGGAUGUAUGAUGAGGGAAUGAAUUACACUGAUAGACUAUAUACUGAAAGGUUGUCAAAGAACCCUUUGACUCUCCCAACAAUUGGGUGGCCAUGAUGCAUUGCUAAAUGCCAAUCUUGGUCUGUGGAAUUGAUUAUAAAUUAAUUGAUUGAAAUUCAUAUUAAUCAAUUAAGUCAUUAAUCAAUUCCAUUGCCAACAUGUUAGGAACCUAAUGGGUCACACACAAUGAUUGCAUUUGAAUUAAAUUGGGAGAGUGACGAUUUAAAUUAGACUUAAAUCACAUGCUAGGUAAUUAACUUCUAUAAACUUAAUUAAAAGAGUUUAAUUAAGUUUUUGGCAUAAUUAUAAAUAGUUAUAAUUAUAAGGCCUUGAUUACAAAAUAUAUAGGAAAUUAAUUUUGAUUUUAAUUUCCAAGGACUUAAUUAAAAGAGUUUAAUUAAGUAAUGGGCCCAACAUUAUAAUGUGUUAUAAUAUUGAGGGCUUAAUUGUAAAAUUGAAGUUAUUUUAACCUAAAUAUAUAAGUCACCUUUUAACUAUUUUUUUAUGAAAGUUUUUCACAAUUGAAAAAACGUAGUUUUUGUCAAAAAAAGAGAAACGUUUUCUUUCUUUGCCACCACUCCCUUUGUGUGAAAGAGAAAAUUUCUUUUGAAGUAAUUUUCGAGAAAGGUUCGGCUAAAUUGUGAAAAAGAAAAAAAAGACAAUUGUUGUCCUCUCUGCUAGCACAAAGUAUAGUUAAAAACUCCUUCCUUUGUAGAAGGUUCAAGUGCAAUCGUGUGUACUACUAGUAGAGGCCAAGCACUUGAUUAGCUUGGGUUUUUGUUCCUUGUGGUGUUCACGAGAUUGCUUUGAAAAGUGCCAUCGUGAUUAUGAAAUUACAUGGCAAGGUAACUUUUUAAACAAUAAUUUAUUUUGUGCUUUUAUGUGUUAAAUAUCACCAAGGUGAUCCAUGAGUAGAGGCAUGUUUUGUUGUUUAGUUAUAAAAUUUUUAAUUUUCUUUCCGCUGCGUAUUUUGAGCAUGCCAUCCAUAGCCAAACCCAUCAAUGAUAUGGUCCAAUUUUUCCAUCAAUAUAUCAUGUAAAGCCCGACCUUAUAAAAUACUAUUCAUGACAUACAUGUGAUGAUAGUAUGAUUGCAUGCUAGGAGAGUCUCGAAAAAUUUACAAAAGUCAGUAUUGUACCUAGAAGUACAACAAAGUUUAUUUAAUCUUCGAACUAGAUCAAAUAGGAAUUUUAAGGUGAGAUUAAGAGUUUCACAGUUCAUGGAUGACUUAAAAUGGUAAUUUGGAGUUUGAAGAUCAAUUUGGAGUCAAAUCGAAAUUUUCACUAACUAGGGGCAAAAUGGUCAUUUGCCAGUUGGGGACAAAAUGAGAAUUUUAGAAAAGAUUUUUUUGACCCCAUUUGACUUAUUGGAGUAUAAUUUGACUUAUUGGAGUAUGAUUUGAGGUUUAAAAGUAAAAAUUUUUAAUUUCAGUAUCAUUUGGAAUAAAAUGGUAAAAUGGUAAUUUUGUCACCUUAAGGGCAAAAUUGUAAUUUUCCACCACCAGGAUAUUUUUCCAGCACAUGGUCUUCCUUUAUCUUCAUCUUUGACCCUUGACUAAUCAUGUGGUGGAGAUAAAAUGUUUAAAUUUUUAAAAUUUUAAAAACGGACCAAUGACAUGAUGCCAUGUGUCAUGCCUUUAUUAAUUUAUUAUUUUCCUUUUUAAAAGGCACAAAAUCAGCCCAUCUUCCACCCCAUGGCCGGCCAAACCAGCAAGAAGAGAGAGAAAAAAAAAACAAAACCCUAGAGAGAGAAAAUCAAAGAAAAAGUGUGAAUUUUCAAGGAAAUUAAGUGAAAAAGGUGAGAUUUUUUCUAUUAAGCUUGAGUUUUCUUAUUCCCAAGCAUUUCUCUUUAUUUUCCAUGAUUAAAUUACAUGUUUUCAUGAUGAAUUCAAUUCUGAAAAAAUGGGUUAGGAGAGAGAAAGUUGUUGGAUUUAUUUGAUUUUAAUUUAUGUUAGUGUUUUUAGUUAGUUUAGCAUAUUUAGAAACAAAACAAAACAACAAGAAUUUAUUUUCUCCCCCAACCAUUAAUGGCUGAAUUUACCAUGUAGUGAGUGAGGAUGAGUUUGAUUUUAUUCUAGGAGAAUUGGUUAAGGAAUAAUGAAUUAUGAGCCUAGAAAAAUAAUGGGAAUUUUCGGAGCAAAAAUACGAAUUUUUACCCACUAGGGGUAUUUUCAUAAUUUACUAUCGAGACUGAUAAUUUGCACCACACUGAGGGACAUUAAGUUAAUUUGGGUGCAAUUGAGGUAUAGAAACUGAAAAGAAUUAAAUUGGAGUUUAAACGGACGCGUUAAGAAUUUAAUCGGGUGAUAAGACGAAUUAGGCCAAUACUGACUUUAGAUAGUUACCAGUGCAUUUUUGCAUUCCAUAUCAUGCAUUGAUAGUUGAAAUUAGUUUAAUUUUGAUUUAGUACCAACUUGGUGAAAUUCUCGAUUUUGUACUGUGUCAAGGUGGUGAGUCCUCCGAUAAAGGCAAGGAAAUUGCAUCCGAGGACCAGUAGACAGAGUGCUUCAGAAGUCUGCAUUCUAGACAUUGUGAGUAAACUUACAGUCAUUUUAAUUAUCUAGGGUCGUUUUUAGAUGCUUUCAUGAAUUCUAUGGAAAAAGGAAUUUAAAAAGGUAAAUUUUCAUAUUUUAUGAAUAAAUGAGUUUCAAUGAAAUUAAUUUAUAAAUUGUUUUGGAAUUAAUAAUGAUUUUGAAAAAUAGAGUACACGGAGAUUGUUAAUUGUGACAAUUUGAUUGUUUAAAUUGACUGGCUUAUGAUAAAUCGAGCAUGAUUGGCUAGUUGGCAAUUAUAUUGAAAUGCGAAUUGUUUGGUUGCCUUGAAAAACUGCGAAUUACAAAAUUACCAUAUCAUGUUAUUGAGUUUUAUUAUAUGGUGGAUUAUAUAUUAAUCAAUCACUACAAUAGGGGGUUUCUGUGGACCAGCCUUUUAGAGGGGCACGGUAAACCCCAUUAUAUUCUUACCUUGAACGGAGAGGCGCGUAGGGUAUCUCUUGGGGUAAAGUUUAGGGUUCACUUCACGCUAAACCACCACGUGAGGGGGAACUCAGCCAACGCCAAGGAACGGCUAUGUUUUCAAAACAAAAACAUGAUUUAUGUGAAAUGUGAAUUUUAAUAGCCUUGGCGGUCUCGAUAGGAUGCCUCGGCCAAGGUGUCCCCGAGAAUAGAUUUAUGGCACAAGCCUAGAUUUUUGUGAGAUUCAUAAGCCUUUUUACGUAUUUUGAACGAGAUGUGUUCUAAUUGUAUAACCCACUUUACGAUGAUUUACUUUAUUGUCUCCAUGUACUCAACUCUAGAUGUUUAUGAUGAUGUCUGUUUACUCAUUGGGAUUUUAUAAUCUCACCACCCUCUUUUCCACCCAUUUCAGGUUCAGUAUAGACUGUAGAUAGCUGAUCUCAUCGAGGACUACGGUGGGAUCUGCAUUUUCCAAACCGUAGGUUCACAGUCCUCUUUACUUUUGUUUAUUCGGGGGCACUCUUGUUAUUGUAAAUUAAAUUAAAUAUUUUGGCUUAUUGUAUUUAAAUAUGUAUAAAUUUAUUUAGCUUUUACGCUUAAAAAUUAUUCACGUAUAACUCUAUAAAUAUUGUUUUAUAAGAAAAUAGAAUAUUUUACUUAAUAUUUCUUUUAUUUUCUUAUUAUAUUCAAAUAACCAUAAUUUCGUUUUAAAUGAAGAUUUUAGACUUUUAAACUCAUUUUGAAUAUGAAUUAUGUGUUUUGUAAUUGUAUAUUACGUUUUAGCCAGUUUCGAAAUUUUUGAGAAAAAUGACCAAAAUACCCCUGUGAGACGAAAAAUUAAUAUUUUAUUUGUUUAAAGUUGGAAACAGAUUAAAAUCUUUUAGAACACGAUAUUUGACAAUGGUUGCUCAUAAGGGAAUAGAGAAACUGAUAGUAAAGCCUUGCGGGGUUUCGGGUUGACAUCUCGGGCAAUAAGUGUCUACCAGGACACCGCGACGAUUGUCACGGGCUCGAAGGGAGUACCGGGUUGUGACAUAUCAUGAGCCACGUAAGCUUGAUUCAAGACCUUGAGCAUCACAUUCCUGUGUGCUUUCGAGUUCAAAAACAAAGAUAACAAUGAGAUGUGAGCAGGCAUUCUUGUUAAUUGCUCCACCACACUAUACUCACUGUGUUUGAAAAUUUUGAGAAAUUCACCCGCUUCUUUCUCCGUAAUAAGACUUUUAACCUCGUUGUUUGGAGCAACUGUAGGUUCGGUAGUUUGGUCCUUGGGAAAGGUACUUGCUUUUUUCGGAUAUUCUCUUUGUUUGGAUUUUCCUUUUUCAACCCUUUCUGCGAUCUCAAGAGAAUAACAUCACCCACUUCGCGUUAUAUCUCCCACACCAGUUAGAUCUGCAGAAGAUACUUGGGAAGUAAGGGGGGCAUGCCCAAGAUAUUACAUUCGUAAUUCCAAGGAACAGCCUCCUCACUCUUAUAUGGGAAUGGAUUGGGAAUUUUAAUGGUAAUACCACUUCCGUCAACAGUAGGGGAUGUAUCAUUCAUCGGACUCCUGUUUUCUUCAUAAAAGAUGGUGAGAGGUUUUGGUUUGUUCAUACCAGAUGAACUUAAUGCCACUUCAGUUAGGGUAUCUUCAUUUAUGGUUCCAACCAAAUCUUCUUCGCCUUCUACAUAAAACUCAAUUAUUGACAAAUCCAUCAACUCUUGCAACUUACAACGAAAGCCAUCGCAAUUUUGAAUAGAAUGUCCAAUGGCCCCUAUAUGAAAUUUGCAAGAAUGAGUGAGAUCAUGCCCCAAUUCUUUUGUGUCAAUUGGUUUUGGAGUGAUGGCAUUUAUUUUCAACAACGCCUCAAACACUUUAUCCAUUGGCGUUUGAAUCUCAUCGAUACUCCUUUUCACCCUUCGAGUCAUCCCUUCAUGUAUGGCGUUUACUGUCGACCUUCCAUGGUUAGGCAAGGGAUUCCCAUCAACAUUUGAAUUAUCCUUUUUAACAAAAUUUAAAAGUCCUACCUUAAUAAGCGCUUGGACCUUAUGCUUUAAUGCAAUACAAUUCUCCGUGGAGUGCCCUUAAAUUCCAAAAUGGUAAUCACAAUGCGCAUUCAGGUCAUACCAUUUCGAAAAAGGAGGUUGGAGUGGUUCCAAAUGGGUUCGAGCAAGGAGUCGAUUUUCUAAGAGUUGUGGCAACAAUAUAGUGUAAAGGACUGGGAUAGGAUCAAACUUAGGUUUUUCUGGGGUAGUUUUAAGUCCUCUUUGACCAUUACCAAAAUUAUUGGCUGAAGCUACCGAUCUUAGUGGUGGAGCUUGUGGGAGAACAUUGGUCUGAAACGUUGGUUGUGGGGCAGAUUGGUACACAUAUGGGUUUUGUGUGAUGUCGCCUAUGUUCGGAUAGAAAGGUUGGUAUGGGGGGUACGGGUGAUAUGGGCUAAAGUUGUGGGUUUGUUGUUCGUCAUGGGAGACUGCUUGCACAUCCCCUUUUUUUUCUUUUAGGCAUACUCCCUUUCUUUGAGCUAGCAACUUCAUGCCCUUCAAUUUUUCCACUUUUGAUAGCUCAUUUUAUUAUUUCUCUAGAUAAGAUCAAAUCCGUAAAGUUUUUCGUGGCAUUACCGAUCAAGCGCUCAUAGAAUGAAGCUCGGAGUGUGUUUAUGAACAAACAAUCAUUUUCUUAUCAGUGAGAGGUGGUUGAACUUGUGCUGUUAUAUCCCUCCACCUUUGGGCAUACUCUUUGAAGCUCUCACUUUGCUUCUUUUCCAUAGUCUGUAAUGACAACUGAUCAUGGGCUAAUUCAACCAUAUGCUUGUAUUGGGCUAUGAAAGCUCUUGCUAGAUCUUUCCAGAUCUUAAUAUGAUUUCGAUCCAAUUGUACGUACCAUUGAGCAGCUGACCCAGUCAAGCUAUCUUGGAAGAAAUGGAUCAGUAACUUGUCAUCAUGAGACUGUGCAGCCAUUUUUCGACAAUACAUGGUAAUACGUGCCACGAGACACUUCGUUCCGUCAUAUUUUUCAAAUUUCAGAACCUUGAACUUGGCAGGGAUCAGUACAUCAGGCACUAAGCAUAGUUUGGCUGCGUCUAUGGUGCCGAACCUAUCAACUCCUUCGAUAGCACGAAGGCGUUCCUCCAACAAAUCAUAUUUUUUUUCUACUUUUUCAUUUUCCCCCAUCUGUGAUGAACUCUUCCUUAACUUUUCUUGCUCUUUUGGAUCGUCUAAAUUUGGAACGUGUAUUAGUUCAGCAGGAUUUAUCCCAGCAUUCAAUCUAAAUUGCCCAUGAGUCAGUUGAUGGCCCAUCUAGGGUAAUAUAUUGUAAUAACCGGAUGACAUCACUUGAGGGUGGACCCUUAGAAAAGUCUGAGCAUGGGGUGGAGUGAAGCCCAGGGGAUAAGGUGGAUCAUCCCUUGAGUUUCCAGUGUCUUGUGCUAGUGGGUUUUCUGGCGAAGUUGACUCUUCAAUCGCUCUUUUUUCUUUACUCAAGCUCAUCAUCAAUUCCAUCAUCUUUGCUAACUACUCUCUCAUUUCUUCUUGAACUUUUUCCAUCUUAUCCAUUCGCUCCCUUUGUUUUUCUUCCAUGAUUCUUGCUCAUCGACGCGUACUAUGAACACGUUGGUCACCGAUUUUAGGUUGUCAAUCUAUCUUGGAAUCCUUAUUUUUAAAUCAUAAACAUGAAUUAGAUGCAUUUUUUUUUUGGUGCAUGAAUGAGAUGAAAAAAAUGCACCCAUUAUCUUUAUUUAUAGACAAAAAUACUUAUUAUCAUGAAAUGAGGAUUUAUGCAUGUAUAAAUGAAUGAUCAUGUACUAAAAGUACUUGUCACAUAAUAUCCAUCAACAAAGUAAUCCAUUGCAUAAGAUAUUAUCUUUUAUUACAAUUCAGGAAUCAUCUUUUAUAUAUAGAAAUAUUCACCAAUUUUGUCGUAAUGGUUAUACACUUCAUCAAGAUACUUAAUCAACUGUUGCUCUCGUUUCCCAAUUAGAAAGACCUGACUCCUCAAUAUGUCUAUUUUCCUAGCCAUGCUUCUUGCCUUGUAAGCCACUUCCUUCACUUGCCUAAGCAAGUAAUCCAUCUGGUCGUGUUUUUCCACAUAAGCUUGUUUGUAGGAUUCACCCCAUUCUCGAAUCCAGGUGCUCCCUUGCUUAAGGAGUUCAUAUUCCUGUUGAUAAGUCGUCAUGACCCCUUCGAGCUCUUCAUACUCUUGCCUUAGUAAUUGGAUGGACUUUUGUUGAAAUCGCACUUGAUUUCUCAGUCCAUCAUUGUACGCUUAAAGCUCAUUGCCUUGGUUUUCUUUCACUUGUAUUUCCCUUUGGAGUUCACUAGUCGUGGCAAAAAACUUGCUAUUUAGGCUCUCAUACUUCUUCUCCCAAUCACUUUCUAUUUUUCGAGCUUUCUUUAAUUGCUCAGCUGCUUCGUUCUUCAUCUUCUCCCAUUCUUUUUAGAGAUCUUCAUAUCGUUGUUUCCAAGUGGAAUUUUCAGCUUCGGAUUUCUUUCGAGCUAACUCACUUUCGAGCAAAGCAUCUCGUGGUUCGGGAUUAACUAGAACACAAAGUGUAUUUUCUUUUGGGUGUACCACAUCCUUAACUCGUUGGUCAUGCCACAUCAGAUACCCAGUAGUAACUUCAUCGGUGUACCUCCCUUGGUCAACUCGACUUGUCUUCUUCCAAGCUCGUGUAAUCUCCUCAAUCCUUUUCAGAAAACCCAACUCUCCAUAAGCAAACUCCAAAGUGUUGAGUUGGUGUGUCAUAGGCACAACUUGCUCUAACUUGAAUUAUCUUCUCACCAUGAUUGGGGCAUAGUUGAUCGCUCCCCAUGGCCCCAUUAAUGGUACCCAAGGUUCAUCCCCGCAUUUGCACAUGACUGGGCGAUGGGGCAUCCAUGGAGCUCUCCACGUUACCUCCACGCUUAUGAGUUUCCUAAGCCUAAAGAUCCAUUGCUCCUUAAUAUUGUUUGUCGGCCAUUUGCUCUCACAAAAUUCUCUGAUGGGGGCACUUUACAAAUGAAAUGGCUUUCUGAACCUAUUAACCUUGCAUUCAAAGUGACUUACUAUCCAUAUGGAAAAAAGAUGUGCGCAUCCCACAAAUCGUCCUUUCUCUUUUCUUCGACAAUAAUUCAGUGAUUUAAGAGUUUCUCUAGGAUUGAAGGUGUCACGACUCGGUACUCCCCUCGAGCUCGUAACAACCGCCGCGAUGUCCCGAUCGACACUCAUUACCCCGGAUGUCAACCGGAACCCCGCAAGGCUUUAAUAUUAGCUUUUCAUUCCCCCUGUGAGUAACUAUUGCCAAAUACAACGUUCUAAAAGAUUUUAAACUAUUUCCAACUUAAAACAAAUAAAAUAAUAAUUUUCAUCUCACAGGGGUAUUUUGGUCAUUUUUCUAAAAAAUUUGGAAACCGACUAAAAUGUAAUUUUCAAAUACAAAACACAUAAUUCAUAAUCAAAAUGUGUUUAAAAAUCUAAAAUCUUCAUUUAAAAUGAAAUUAUGGUUAUUUGAAUAUAAUAAGAAAAUAAAGGAAAUAUUAAGUAAAAUAUUCUAUUUUCUUAUGAAAUAAUAUUUUUAGAGUUAUACGUAAUUAAUUUUCGGAGCGUAAAAGCUAAAUAAAUUUAUACAUACUGUAAUACAGUAAGCCAAAAUAUUUAAUUAAAUUUACAAUAACAAGAGGGCCCUCGAAUAAACAAAAGUAAAGAGGACUGUGAACCUACAGUUUGGAAAAUGCAGAUCCAACGGCAGUCCUCGAUGAGAUCAGCUAUCUACAGUCUAUACUGAACCUAAAAUGGGUGGAAAUGAGGGUGGUGAAAUUAUAAAAUCUCAAUGAGUAAACAAACAUCAUCAUAAACAUCUAGAGUUGAGUACAUGGAGACAAUAAAGUAAAUCAUCGUAAACUGGGUCACAGCAUUAGAACACAUUUCAUUUAAAAUACGUAAAGAGGCUUAUGAAUCUCAUAAAAACUAGGCUUGUGCCAUAAAUCUAUCCUCGGGGACACCUUGGCUGAGGCAUCCUACCGAGACCGCCAAGGCUGUUAAACAUUCACAUUUCACAUAAAUCAUAUUUUUAUUUUGAAAACAUAGUCGUUCCUUGGCGUUGGCUAAGUUCCCCCUCACGUGGUGGUUUGGCAUGAAGUGAACCCUAAGCUUUACCCUAGGAGAUACCCUACGCGCCUCUCCGUUCGAGGUAAGAAUAUAAUGGGGUUUACUGUGCCCUUCUAAAAGGCUGGUCCACAGAAAUCCCCUACUGUAGUGAUUAAUUAAUAUAUAUCCACCAUAUAAUAAAAUUUUGAUGGCAUGACAAGGCUAAUGAAAUACUACCCAGCCUGUAAGGGUAAAAUAAAACAAUUCAUACAAUUCAUAAAACACAGCCCAGCUAGUUAUGCCAACACAAUAACAAUAUAACAUAAGCCAUCAAUUUGAACAAUCAAAUUGCCACAAUUAACAAUCUCCGUGUACUUUAUUUUUUUCAAAAUCAUUAUUAGUUUCAAAACAAUUUAUAAUUUAAUUUCAUUGGAACACCUUUAUUCAUAAAACAUGAAAAUUUACCUUUUAAAUCCAUUUUUCCAUAGAAUUCAUGAAAUCAUUUAAAAACCAUCAUAGAUAAUUAAAAUGACAGUAAGUUUACUCACAAUGUCUAGAAUGUAGACUUUCGAAGUACUCUGUUUACUGGUCAUCGGAUGCAAUUUCCUUGCCUUUAUCGAAUGACUCACCAUCUUGACACAGUACAAAAUUGAGAAAUUCACCACAUUGAUACUAAAUUGAAAUAAAACUAAUUUAGGCUACUAAUGCAUGAUAUGGAAUGCAAAAAUGUCCGAAUAGCCGUUUAAAUACAGUAUUCGACCUAAUUCGCAUUAUUCUUAGUCUAAUCGGCUAAAAUCUUCAAUUUAACUCCAAAUCGAUUCUUUUCACUUUCUACACUCCAAUUAUACCUAAAUUACCUUAGGGACUGUGAAUGAGGUUCAAUUUAUUGGUCUCGGGUCAAUAAUUACACAUGUCUAUAUGUUGAGCAAAAAUUCAUAUUUUCGCACUAAAAUUUCCCAUUUAAUUCUAGCCUCACCAAACAUCAAAUAUCACCAAAAUAUCAUGAAAUAUCAUCAAAUUCAGCCACAAUAUUCUCCCUAGGAAAUUUGGCCAAUGAUGGUAAUGGGGAAAAAUGAAUUCUUUUCUUGUUGUUUUGUUUCUAAAUAUGCUAAACUAACUUAAAACACUAACAUAACUUAAAAUCAAAUCAAUCUAACUUCAUUCUCUCUCAUACCCAUUUGGGCAGCCAUGAAUUCACCAUGAGAACAUGAAAUCUAACCAUGGAAAAUAAGGAGAAAAGCAUGGGAAAGGUAGAUCACAAGUCAAAAUCAAGAAAUUUUACCUUUGAUUGCUUGAUUCCUUGAAAUCCCACACUUUUUCUUUAAUUUUCCCACCUAGGUUUGUUGUUUUUCUUUUCCUCUCUUUGUUCUUGCUAUGGCCGGC
Molecule: long non-coding RNA, 27796 nt
Filed under: Theobroma cacao (cacao)
Lineage: Eukaryota; Viridiplantae; Streptophyta; Magnoliopsida; Malvales; Malvaceae
Description: long non-coding RNA (TCAC_LNC006288)
Source: RNAcentral